AUUUACUACAAUUAAAUACAGAGCCAAAUCUGCAAAUAAAUACCUGUGAUGAUUUCACAACAUAAAUAUGCAUUUUUUAAUUAAUUUUCAAUUUUCGGAAAUUGUUGGGAAAACACAACAUGGAUUUUUGUCCACACAUGUCAUAAAUAAGCAAAGCUAUUGCUGAUUAAAGAUCAGUAAACGCUGUUGUACUGCCAGAAGCAUAAAAAUUAAGGAUUUAAAUUUAAAUCCUUGAUUGUCAAUAUAUUAACAUGCAUGUACUGCAAAUAAACUCGUCAUAGAUACCAGGACUAAAUUUAGUAUACACGCCAAUGCGCGUUUCGUCUACAAAAGACUCAUAAGUGACGCUCGAAUCCAAAAAAAGUUGAAAAGGCCAAAUAAACUACGACGUUAAAGAGCAUUGAGGACCACAAUUCCUAAAAGUGUUGCCAAAUACAGCUAAAGUAAUCUAUGCCUGACGUAGAAAAGCCUUAGUAUUUCAGUAAAUUUAUCAAUAUAACCAUAUCAAUGACAAAUCAUGUCAGUACAAAAAGUGCUGACUACUGGGCUUGUGAUACCCUCGGAGAAAUAAAUCUCCACCAGUAGUGGCAUCGACUCAGUGGUUGUAAAUAAACUCGUCAUAGAUACCAGGACUAAAAUUAGUAUAUACGCCGACGCGCGUGUCGUCUACAAAAGACUCAUCACUGACG
This 689-nucleotide long non-coding RNA is filed under the name Mytilus galloprovincialis (Mediterranean mussel). The record is from RNAcentral. Lineage: Eukaryota; Metazoa; Mollusca; Bivalvia; Mytilida; Mytilidae.